This 396-nucleotide long non-coding RNA is filed under the name Capsicum annuum. Its description in RNAcentral is "long non-coding RNA (CANN_LNC020838)". The record is from RNAcentral. Lineage: Eukaryota; Viridiplantae; Streptophyta; Magnoliopsida; Solanales; Solanaceae.
AAAUCAAUAUACUAGUAUUAAUAUCUGGAAAUUUGAUGUUGUAAGAUGAAGGACCACCAAGGCAAACGACAAAUUCGUAGCCGCUAGCCAUACUAUGAUCUUUUUGCAAAUUGGAGUAAAGAUAGUAGACUAAACAAGGUCAUUACAAGAUAUAAUGUGGGUCUCCAGCACCAUAUAGUAGACUAAACAGGGUCAUUACUAGAUAUAAUAUGGGUUUCUACGACCAUAUAGUAAUUCCCAAAUAGUAGACUAAACAAGGUCAUUACAAGAUAUAAUGUGGGUCUCCAGCACCAUAUAGUAGACUAAUAUAACAUGGGUCUCUAGGACCAUAUAGUAAUUCCCAAAGCUCUAGCUAAGUGUAGUAGUAGUCCUAUUUAGAGUAACGCUUCUUGCAAA